AGUGAACGCUGGCGGUAGGCCUAACACAUGCAAGUCGAACGGCAGCACAGUAAGAGCUUGCUCUUACGGGUGGCGGGUGGCGGACGGGUGAGGAAUACAUCGGAAUCUACUUUUUCGUGGGGGAUAACGUAGGGAAACUUACGCUAAUACCGCAUACGACCUACGGGUGAAAGCAGGGGAUCUUCGGACCUUGCGCGAUUGAAUGAGCCGAUGUCGGAUUAGCUAGUUGGCGGGGUAAAGGCCCACCAAGGCGACGAUCCGUAGCUGGUCUGGGAGGAUGAUCAGCCACACUGGAACUGAGACACGGUCCAGACUCCUACGGGAGGCAGCAGUGGGGAAUAUUGGACAAUGGGCGCAAGCCUGAUCCAGCCAUACCGCGUGGGUGAAGAAGGCCUUCGGGUUGUAAAGCCCUUUUGUUGGGAAAGAAAAGCAGCAGGUUAAUACCCCGCUGUUCUGACGGUACCCAAAGAAUAAGCACCGGCUAACUUCGUG
This 492-nucleotide ribosomal RNA is filed under the name uncultured bacterium. RNAcentral's name for it is "partial 16S ribosomal RNA". It matches the Rfam family "Bacterial small subunit ribosomal RNA", at positions 29 to 507 of the family's 1533-position model. The record is from RNAcentral.